UCCGGAGGGUGCAAUCGUUAUUCGGAAUUAUUGGGCGUAAAGAGCACGUAGGCGGCCAGUUAAGUCAGAUGUGAAAGCCCGGGGCUUAACCCCGGAAGUGCAUUUGAAACUAACUGGCUUGAGUAUGGGAGAGGGAAGUGGAAUUCCUGGUGUAGAGGUGAAAUUCGUAGAUAUCAGGAGGAACACCGGUGGCGAAGGCAACUUCCUGGACCAAUACUGACGCUGAGGUGCGAAAGCGUGGGGAGAAAACAGG
RNAcentral lists this ribosomal RNA (253 nucleotides) under uncultured bacterium. Its description in RNAcentral is "partial 16S ribosomal RNA". It matches the Rfam family "Bacterial small subunit ribosomal RNA", at positions 524 to 776 of the family's 1533-position model. The record is from RNAcentral.